CCUACGGGAGGCAGCAGUGAGGAAUAUUGGUCAAUGGCCGGAAGGCUGAACCAGCCAAGCCGCGUGAAGGACGAAGGUGCCAAGCAUUGUAAACUUCUUUUGUCAAGGGACAAAAUCAGGCUCGAGAGCCUGACCGAGGGUACUUGAAGAAAAAGCAUCGGCUAACUCCGUGCCAGCAGCCGCGGUAAUACGGAGGAUGCGAGCGUUAUCCGGAAGUAUUGGGUGUAAAGGGUGCGUAGGCGGACUGUUAAGGCAGCGGUGAAAGCCGCGGGCUUAACCCCGGCAAGGCGUUUAAAACGGGUAUUCUUGAGUAUGGGAGAGGUAGGUGGAAUGCUCGGUGUAGGGGGAAAAUGCGUAGAGAUCACGAAGAACACUGAUUGCGAAGGCGAACU
Molecule: ribosomal RNA, 392 nt
Filed under: uncultured bacterium
Lineage: Bacteria
Description: partial 16S ribosomal RNA
Rfam family: Bacterial small subunit ribosomal RNA
Source: RNAcentral